Equus caballus (horse) is the source of this 8980-nucleotide long non-coding RNA. NCBI's taxonomy places the organism in Eukaryota, Metazoa, Chordata, Mammalia, Perissodactyla, Equidae. The record is from Ensembl.
CUCAGGUAAGGCUCACAACCAUUCUGAGUUUCAUACUAUUGCUACCCCACUGUCAGAUGAUAAAACUGAGGCACAAAGAGGGACGUGACUUAACCGAGGCCACAUAGCCAGUAAGUAGCAGAGCAGUCUGGCUGGGAGCCCAUGCUGCUGACCAAUGCCCUUUCAGUGGUCUGGAAGACUCCCACAGGAAGUGCUCAGGACUGGGCAGAGAUGGACCAGGACGAUUUACAGAGUGGAAAUCUGCCUCAUUAGGGGCUGUAGUAGUUGAGACAAGCAGAUACUGCAACAUGUAAAUUUGACAUAUUCAAGGGAAUUUAAUAAAUGAGGUUUAUAAACUAUAUAAAUAUGUAAGAGGAUUUAAUGUGUUAGAUUUGUGUGCUUUUGUGAUUUUAAUAUGUAAUACUUAAGAAAAUUCUAUUCCAUUUAUAGUGUUUAAAUGGGAAGUUUAAUAUGUCAAAGUAAUAUGUUCACUGAGGAUUAAGCAAAGAACAAGAAAAGUGUUUUAUUUUAACAUAAAAUUGAUAGAUUUAUAAGUGAAUUUGAGAUUUGGGUUUCACUGCUUAGUAACUAGAAUUAAAUUUUACACUCCUAAUAAAUUAAAUAUCAAUUAAAACAAAAGCCACUUUAUGGGUUCCUUUCCAUGCACAAAACGUCUCUGCUGACAUUUAAAAUCUCAACCGACAAGUGACACAGUUAUAGCCCUAUUCUGCAGAGGAGGAAACUGAGGUGAAGAGAAAUGACUUCCCAAGAUGACAGAACUGGGAAGGAGUGGACCCUGCACUCCAGACCAGACUGCCUAAGCCAGCACAUGCAACCACUUUCCUACACCACCUCCAGUGUAUGAAGAUUCCAUUUCUACAGAAAACUAGGUCAGUCAUGAAUACACACCCUGGAGGAACAUACACCAAUGUAACAACACUGGUCUUUACUGGAGUGGGAAUUAUGGAAGCGUUAUUUUACUUCUGUAACUUUUAAGACUUGACUAAAAGGAGUUCUUUAUUCCUUCACCCCAUUUUUCAACUAAUCUCUUUGCUGAUAAUUUAAAAUUAAGAGAAUUCACCUCUUUACAGUUUACUUUCUUCUGUGUUGUCAAUCAGUAUUUCGUAGUCAUUUAUUACUAUCUACCUCAUGAGCUUUUUUUUUUUUUAACCAUUCCUGCUAAUGCUUCAAACACCCCCUCUGAUGGGCAUCAUUCCUGGCUGAAACCUUUUUCUUAUACCCCUGUCCCCAGAUACCUCAUAGAAUUAGUCACUCCUUCAGUUAGCCACUUUUGUACCUAGUAUGUGCUCUUAUUAUUAAAGGUAUAACACUGACUUAUAGUUGUCUUUCUAUUCAUCUAUCUUCCCUACUAGAGUAUCUAUAGUACAUAUGUGUUAUCCCAGGGUCCAGCACAAAAUUUGGUUGGUUAAACUGAACGUAUUUUGCAGUUAUGAAAGCUGAAGUAUGCUUUACUUAGGCAAUUAUAUAGCUCUUUUCUUUCUUUAAAAGGCUUACUCUCUUUUGGUCCUUUAACUCUUUCGUCUAGCAUUGGGGUAGAUGACACAAUCAAGGCUUAAGCUGAACUAAAAGUGGAGGAAUUCAGUUAAGAAGCUGUCACAAAACUAGAAAGAUUGAAUUAUCUGACAACACAAAUCAUCUGCAAAGAGGAGUUGAGAGCGGAGCUAUGUCACACAUUCACAUCUAGGAGGGAGAGAGAAUCCUGUCUUGCUUCCCCUGGGGGUGCUCCAUGUCCUAUAGCUCUCAGACUAGCCUGGCCGCCAAAUCUGGCGUGUACUUCUCAGCGUCCAGUUUUCCACUAGAAAGAAAAAGAAGAAAAAGGCACUUAAUCUCUUAAACCAGAAGAAUAUUUUUAGAUAGCUGGGGGCCAGAAACACUUCAGUUACUAAUUAAGACCCCAGUAUAUUUGCAUUUUAUCCUGGACUGCUUCGAUGGCGGAAAUCUCGGGGCAGGGUAGCAUUUUGGAGAGUGCACCCUGCAGAGCACCUAACCCCCACACCACUGCCCCUGUGCCCUCGCCUGCCGCCGGUAGGGGACCAGCCUGGCGGCGGAGGCGGUGACACCAGGGCUGGCCCCCACGCCUUGCUCCGCUCCAAGUCUGAGGCGUGGGCGGGAAAGUGAAAAUGAAAACAGAAGCUACCCUGAUUGCCGGCUCUCGGGCUGGCGACCCGCACUGGUCACUUACACUGUGGGGCAGGAUGGGCAGAACUGGAGACCUUCUUAAGAAUUUGCCUUCUCCUCGGGUACGGGGUCUCCGCCCUACCGCGCGCGGACUAGUGCAGCUCCGCCGCCCGCUCUGGGGAGGCCCUGCGGCCCCGCCCCGCCCGGUGAGGCUCCGACCCUCCCCCGCGCCGCGCGCUGCCUGAGCCCCCGCCCGCGCUCCGCUUCCGCCCCUGAGGCCACGCCCCCUGGGGACCCCGAGCCCCGGAGGCUCCACGAGGCCUGGCUAGCGCCGGGCGGAGCCUCGACAAAAGCAAUUCCUCUUCCUCCUCUUCCUCUGCUUCCUCCGGUCCCUCCGCCCUCGCGCUGUUGUGGGUCGUCAGAUCCCGAAGACUUGGCGGAGGCUGGGCCGAGGCGAACCCAGGCUGCUUUCCCAUUAGGGCCCUAUCCGGGUUUGGGAACCCGCGGCGGCGGGUGGCCUUGGGGUUGAAGCUCCUGCCAGGCGCAUCUCUGCCGUGAGAACCUAUUGGGGAGGGUGGAUCCUGAAGAUCUGUUUGGGCGUUUCUUCCUUCUGGCUCCACCCAAAUGGAAGUGGUAGGAAGUCCGCAGGAUGCCUGUUAAUUACAGUAGACACCUGACCUGAUACUUGCAGACCAAGUUCAGAGAGCAAUAUUUGGAGAAAUGUAGGCACGAAGCUGGAAAAUGCGUAUGGCUGUUUUCACUGUUCCCCUCGGCUAUCUGAAAGAUGUGGGGGUGAAAAUCUCCAGAAACAACGGCAAACAAACGCAUAACAUUGGAGGUUGGAUUGAUGGUUACCACAGGGGAAGCGGGGAGGAGGGAGGGCAAAAGGGGUGAUUAGGCUCACCUGUGAGGGGAUGGACUGUAAUUAGUUUUCGGGUGGUGAACAUGAUGUAAUCUACACAGAAUCGGAAAUAUAUUAUGAUGUACAUCCAAAAAUAAACAAAUAAAUGAAAAAAAAGAAAAAAAUCUCCGAGUAUAUAUCCAGACGUAAUCAAGGAUGACAUGAAGCCACUGCCGUAUGGGUUUCUCCAUGUCUGACGUCAGACUGUAUUCACAGGAAGUUGUUCAUUGGCUGGCAGAAGCCCUUGUGACCAAAGCGAAGCCACGUCAUUCAGCACAUACAGUUCGCCCACGUUCUCAGACGCUGAAGAACGUUGCCUUCACGCUUGUAGGGAGUGUAAAGGAAAAAAAACCCGCCACCAACCUGCUUCCAGUGCUUAGCAUCGUACUGGAACAAUUGCAGAAGCUACGCUUUAGCGUCUGUGAAUUUUUGCCUGACUUCAUAACUACUUAUUUCUAGUGGAACUUUGUCCUUCAGAAAUUAUUCAGCAGUAGAUGGUAGCAGAGUGAAUCUUCACAACUCUAUGAGAUUGUCAUUAUCCUCAUUUUACAGAGAGAAGAACUGAGGCUUUGAGAAGUUAAGGUAACUUACCCAAGGUCACAUAGCUAGUAAGUGACCAUUUAGUAUUGAACUCAGGUCACACAUCCCUCUAAGUUAAAAAUCAUGCAGAGUGCAGGUGCAUACAUUUUAUCUAAGUGUAUCAUGAUGUACAGUUAAAAUGGGUGCAUUUUAUGUAAGUUAUACCCCAGUAAAGUUAAUUUUAAAAAAUCAUGCAGAAUGAAUGUGAUGUUUUUUAUGAUAAAACUCAUCAAGGAAACAGCAUUAUGAUUUCACACAUGACAGUUUCUGAGGAAAAAGAGAUGGAGGUGAAAUAUAUGUACAUGUUAUUAACAUAACCACUGAAAGACUGGUGACACCACAGUCAAGGCUUGUUCAUUCAGGUCACUUUCCCAAACUUCAGAUACAGAUAUAAAGAAAUAUUAACCAGGAUGGGUUAGGGGCAUGCAAAUCUGUUGUGGAAAUCAACCAAAGGAACACAAAAUUAUAAAAGACAUCUGAAGUCUGUGAUAUCAAACAUAUCUAACAAAAAUAUGCGCAAGUACAGAGCAUUAAAAAGUUAGGUACUUUUGCUAGUGGUAUGCAUUAAAGUCACAUUUUCUGUGUGCAAUAUACUAUAUAUUAUACUAAGCAUUGUGAUUAUAAGCUGUGCAGCAGAAUUUACACAUUUUUAAUUUCUAUUAAAAUUUAUUUGAAUAGUUUGUCAAAACAAGCAAGGCACCAGUUGUUGGUGCUUUUGUGUUUGAAGGCUGUGUUUGGCUAUUUAAAAAGAAUACAUUGACUCCUUUUUCAUUUUAUUUUAUUUUAUUUAUUUUUUUUUAAAAGAUUUUAUUUUUUCCUUUUUCUCCCCAAAGCCCCCUGGUACAUAGUUGUAUAUUCUUCGUUGUGGGUCCUUCUAGUUGUGGCAUGUGGGACGCCACCUCAGCGUGGUUUGAUGAGCAGUGCCAUGUCCACGCCCAGGAUUCGACCCAACGAAACACUGGGCCGCCUGCAGGGGAGCGCAUGAACUUAACCACUCGGCCACGGGGCCAGCCCCUCCUUUUUCAUUUUAUGAUGUUCCAUUUUGAAGUUUCACCAGUUUCAGAAACAUUUUGAAUUUAAGGCUUUAAUUAAAAUUUAUGAAUCAAAUAUUUUGUGAAUUGGGUAUUCUGAACAAUCAUGGUUGCCUGUACGUGUGUAGAAACAGGAUGAAAAAGAGCCCAGUUCUUUCCACAAGUGGCAAAACUGACUUUCUUAGGAUGCUUAAACCGAUAGUUGUUGUACCCACCUAAUACAGGUACGUCUGUAUUGGUCAAUAUAGCAGCUCCAAAAAUGACAAACUCCAUGAGGCAUCAGAAUAGGAUAUGACCAAUGAGAUUUCACUGUUAGAAAUUCUGCACGACCUUAUGUUUUCCAAGAGAAUAUUUUCUUCAAUGGCAAUCAUGAAGACAGUGACAUACCUUGAGUGAAAAAGAAAAUGGUUGUGAGAGAAAGCUUGAGUCUUAGGGCAAUUUGAUGAGUAUACAUACAACCCUUCAUACUGACCCAGCGCUCCCCAUCAGCAGAGUUCUUUGCAAGGUUGAGGAUAACAACAGAAAACCACCGCUCUUAGUAAUGAGAUCUGACCAGCAUGGCUGGGGAACAGCACAGAGCCUGAGACCAGAUCUCUGUGUGAACACCUAAACUUCCUGCUGGUAGUUAUUCUCUUUACCAGUUUGCUUCUUUAACAUUUGUUUAAUAUUAGUGCAGCUUGCUUGGCAAUGAAAGCAGCUGUGUCUUCUCAGACAUGCAUAAGACUAUAAUUAACAGACUACUAAAAAUGUUUCCACUGCAACUAAUUUUUAGUAUGGCUUUUCUUAAUUUAUUCAUAGAAUAUAAUGAUUAAUUCCAGAAAUGUACAAUUUACUAGAAUCCGUUCUGAACAGGUGGAAGCAACUUUAAUACAUGGAUGUGUUAUCUAUGAUAAGUGCACAUUUUUUUUCCUGUCCAGUAGCAUAUCACCUUGAGUGUCUCUAUCUGCAUGUUAAAAAUUGAGAUGAAAUUUAAAAACUAUACUUCAAAUUCUUGAGAUUCUUUUUGGCAAAAUAUCUUAAGAACUUUAAAAAAGUUUAUGACCCUUGAUCCAGUAAUUGCCCUCCUAGUAAUCUAUCCAGAGAAAAUAGAAAUCAAAGCAAAGGUUUUUAUAUAAAAGAUGUCCACUGCACAGGGCUGGCCCAGUGGCAUAGUGAUUAAGUUCAUGCACUCUGCUUCAGCAGCCCAGGGUUUGUGGGUUCAGAUCCCAGGCACAGACCUACACACUGCUCCUCAAGCCAUGCUGAGGCAGCAUCCCAUAUAUAAAAUGGAGGAAGACUGACACAGAUGUUAGCUCAGGGCCAAUCUUCCUCACACACACACAAAAAGAUGUUUACUGCAGUGUCAUGUAUAAUGACAAAGACUGGAAAAUCCAGUCUAAGUCAACAAUAGUAAAAUCUUUAAAUAAAUUGAUAUAUUAAUUUAUGGUUAUGUUUAAAUAUGGUCAUUUAAAAUUUAUGGAAAUUUAACAAUGUGUUUCAAGUUCAUUUGAUCACAUAGUUGUGUCAUCGUAACUUUGUAAAAACAAAUGCAUAUGCAUAGAAAAAUGACUAGAAGCAACUACAUAAAAACGUUAACUGUAGUUAUUGCUGAGUAGUAGGAUUAUGGGCCACUUAAAUUUUCUUUGAACUUUUAAAUUUUUUAAAAUUCUCUAUAAUGAACAUUUUUUUAUAGUCAGGAAAAUAAUAAAUGCUACUUUUUAAAACAAAAACAAAAUUCUUGGAGGGUUUAAUAAACACUUGACUUCUUGAUUCAUAACUAGCAGAAUGAGAUAUUUAUGCUUAUGCAUGGCAAAUAGGCUAGAAAUAACCCCAAACAAUGACUACUUUAGAAAUCAACCAGUCUCACUCGGCCUUGUCCUUUCUUUCAUUCUUAUCCUCAACUAGUUGUUAAAAAUGUAUCUUAUGGUUGAAAGCCUAUUUCUACUAAAGUAAAAUAGUAUAAAAUGAAUUAAGUCUAAAAGCAUACACCUGCGUAAACCUAAAGAGGUAACGUAAUAAAAAAAGAUUAGUAACACAAGCCCCCAAACAAAUGUUAUGUAUAAUAACAUGUUUCAUUCUUUCCCAAAAGCCUAAGAGCCCCAGGCCCUGUGCUAGAUGCUGUAGAAGUACCAUAACUGAGGGUUUUUUCUACUAAAACAUUCAUGUACGUAUAUAUUUAAACAUGUCCUAGGAAAAGGUCCGGAAGCCUACACCUUGAUGUCAAGGUAUUAAGUUUCUAGGUUGGGAGAAUUAUAAAUGUUUUCAGGACAUUUUUGCUUGUCAAUAUUUUCGGAUUGUUCUGUAAUGUGCAAACAUAGCCUUUUGUAAAAAAAAAAAAAAUGUUUUAAUAUCAUUUUGACCAAAAAAGGCUACCCAGAGCUGUCAGAAUUAGUCUCUUUGAGACCUUUCUAAUUCGCAAUUAGGAAAACAAAUUACCAAUUACUCAUAGUACAAAGCUUUGACAGACUAAAUAAUAUAGCUUUAUAUUUGGUAUCUGCCUAAUACUUGGGAGGAAAAAAAUAAGUCACUUGAACUCAUCUAUGAAGCAAUUUAGGAAAUCCUCUUGGAAAACUCAGUUGUGGAACAGCAAUUUAAAUAGAUUAAAUAAACAUCUUCCAUUGGCAGUUAUGUCAAUGGAGUUGUACACUGAUGAAAGAUUUAAAACAAGACAGGUACUCCAAUAGGAAAUUUAAAAAACAAAUGAAAGAAAUGCAUAUGGAAACAGACCAGUUUCCUAAAAGAACAGCAUCAAGUUUUAAUAACUUGUCUUUAAAUAAAAACACCUGGGACAUUUUUGCACGUCAGAGGUUUUUGAGAUGGAACAUUACCAGUGGAUUGGUAACAUUUUACAGACUAUAUUAGCACAGUGUUUUACAUAAAGUGGAUGUUCAGUAUCUUCUUAUAAAAAUUUAUUUUGGUUCAAACUUACACAGUAGAAAAUGAUUCAUAAGUUUAAUUUACAAAGUGUUUGAUUAUUUGCUGGACAAAAUAUACGGUUCUAAAUUUUCACCCUAAAUUUGAGCAUCUGGAGGAAAAGGUUUCAAUUAAUUUAAGUACACAUCUAAUAAAAUGAAACAAAGCCAUCUGACUGAGGCAAUAUGAUGCACUAAAAAGCACUUUGAACACUGGAAUUUAUUUCCAACAUUGCAGCUAUCUUGUAACCUUGGGGUUCAUUUUCUUCUACUGUAAAAUAAAGUGAUUAAACAGGAUCAUGUCUCUCCAAGAUACUUUAGGUUUUAAAAGUCUGUGAUCUGAAAACAAACAUGGGAAGAUUCUAAAAGGUAGAGAGAAGGUAGACCAAGUAGGGAUCUCAAGACCCAAAGCACAAGACAGGAGUGAGUCCUCUGGGUUGUCUUUCUGCCUCAUAUAUCCUAGAUUUGGAGCUGAAGAACCUGGCAACUAGCACAAGUGAAGGAAAGCCCCAACAAAAGCCUACUCUCUUUAGCCAAGGACCUGGAAAAGGGCAGCCUAGUAAGACAGAAAACCUUUAGGCAAUAACUGCUAUACUCCAGCCAAACCUGAUGGAAAAGACUGUGGCCCCAACCCCACCCACAUCAAUAGAGGACAAGUCAAGAGCUCAGACUUAGCACUUUAGCUAGCCUCUAAUGAAGUGCCCCAACUCUCCUGCCACUGCCACCACCAUCAGCGUGGUGUCAGAGGAAGCCUAGUGGAGAGUCUGGACUUUCAUGACCGCCUGGUAGUAAUGAGGCCGGAGGUUACUCACCCCACCUCUGGUGUCAGUGAGGUCCACAUUGGGGGCAGUAUUAAGACACUUUUACCCCUCCUACCAGGGAAGUAUCAGUGGAGGCCUAGUGAAGACCUGGAACUCCCAUCACCACCUAUAAGUAAUGAAAAGCAGCCCCAACUCAAAUGCCAACAGAGGCUGAGUAGAGACUGAGAGAGUCCAGCAUCCUACUGGACUUCUACCCACGCUGGCAAUAAUGAGGUGGCCACUCCCUCACCCCCACUCUUCUGCUGGAGCAGUGUCAGAGGAAACCAGCUACAACAGAACGUUUAAAUAAGAUCCAUAUGGUCUCCUUAGAAGCACAAAAGUUUUUAAUUUUGAUGAAGUCCAAUUUACCUAUUUUUUCUUUUGCUGUUCCUGAUUUUGGUGUCACAUCUAAGAAGGCUUUGCCAAAUUCAAGAUCAUGAAGAUUUACUUCUAUGCUUUCUUAUAAGAGUUUUGUAGUUUUCAUUCUUACAUUUAGGUCUUUGAUCCAUUUUGAGCUAAUUUUUGUAUAUGGUGUAAGAUAAGGGUCCAAGUUCAUUCUUUUGCCUGUGGCUAUCCAGUUGUCCCAGCAUUCACUGAAAAGAAUAUUCUUCCCCAUUGAAUGGUCUUGGCACCCUUAUCAAAAAUCAAUUGACCGUAGAU